GUUGCGGGAAAAUGAAUUAUACAUCAAGAAGGAGAAAUGUUCAUUUGCCAAAGAAGAGGUGCAUUUCUUGGGACAUAUCAUCGGGCAUGGUCACUUAAAAAUGGAUGGAGCCAAAGUAAAAGCAAUCAAUGAAUGGGAGCCACCUACUAAGGUGACGGAGUUGCGGUCUUUCCUUGAAUUGGUAAAUUACUACCGACGUUUCAUUAAAGGCUACUUAUCUAGAGCAGCCCCUUUGACGGAUUUGCUUAAGAAGUCUCAAGGAUGGGAGUGGACCGUGAAAUGUCAAAGAGCCUUUAACGAUUUAAGGGCGGCGGUCAUGUCAGAGCCGGUGUUGGCCUUAUCGGAUUUCAACAAAAGUUUUGAGGUUCAAACUGAUGCAUCAGAUUUUGCUAUUGGAGGUGUGCUCAUGCAAGAAGGUCAUCCUAUUGCCUUCGAGAGCCGCAAGUUGAAUGAUACGGAGCGGCGUUACACGGUGCAAGAAAAAGAAAUGACAGCCAUUGUGCAUUGUCUACGGGUAUGGCGUCAUUAUCUUUUGGGUUCCUGUUUUGUGAUCAAGACGGACAACGUGGCUACAAGUUACUUCCAAUCACAAAAGAAGUUGAGCCCAAAGCAAGUUAGAUAGCAAGAUUUUUUAGCGGAGUUUGAUUAUGUGAUGGAAUACAAACCCGGGAAGGUGAAUGUAGUGGCGGAUGCACUUAGCCGGAAGGCGGAACUUGCGGCAAUUAGUCAAGCUAUGGGUACCUUGUUAGAGGAAAUUAAACAAGGAUUGGAGCAUGACCCCAUGGCGAAAACAUUGAUGCAAGCCACUCGAGAAGGAAAAACAAGGCGAUUUUGGAUUGACAACGGGUUGCUAUACACCACUGGGCAACGGGUAUUUGUGCUUAAGUGGAGAAAUUUGCGGCGUGACGUAAUUCGGGAAUGUCAUGACACCAAGUGGGCUGGACAUCCCAGGAUAGAUCAGACAUUAGCUUUGAUUGAACGAGCAUAUUAUUGGCCGCAAAUGAAGGAUCAAGUUGAGACAUAUGUCCGGACAUGUCUUGUGUGCCAACGAGACAAAGUGGAGAAUAAAUUACCGGCGGGACUUCUUGAUCCUCUUCCCGUUCCGGAUCAACCAUAGGACAUGGUCACCAUGGAUUUCAUUAGUGCCUUGCCAAAGUCCGAAGGGUUCGAAUCAAUAAUUGUUGUUGUUGAUCGAUUUUCUAAGUAUGCUACUUUCAUUCCAGCCCCUAAGGAUUGCACUGCGGAGGAGACGGCAAGGUUAUUUUUUAAAAAUGCUGUGAAGUAUUGGGGGUUGCCGAAGCAUAUUGUAAGUGAUCGGGAUCCCCGCUUCACGGGGAAAUUGUGGACAGAGUUGUUUAAACUCCUUGGAUCGGAUUUGUACUUUUCAAGUAGUUUUCACCCGCAGACGGAUGGACAAACGGAACGGGUGAAUGCAUAGUUGGAGUGUUAUCUUCGACACUUUGUUAGUGCUAAUCAACGGGAUUGGGCGAAGUUGAUGGACAUAGCCCAAUUUUCCUACAACUUGUAGAAAAGUGAAUUCACUGGACAUAGUCCAUUUGAGCUUGCAACAGGGCGACAACCUACAACACCCCACACAUUAUCUAUGGUUAGUGAUUCUAACCGAAGUCCUGGAGCAAUCAAAAUGGCUAAGUCAUGGGGAGAUCAUGUGGACUUAGCAAGAUCUUGCUUGGAGAAAGCCCGGAAGCGAAUGAAGAAAUGGGCCGAUGUGAGACGAAGACCAUUGGAGAUCAAGUACUUGUGAAAGUGUUGCCUCAACAAUUCAAAGCCUACUACAAAGUUCACAAGGGCUUGGUUAGAAAAUAUGAAGGUUCGUUCCCCAUCCUAGCGAAAGUUGGAAGAGUUUCCUACCGGCUAGAUCUUCCAAGCACUUUAAAGAUCCACCCGAUUUUUCAUAUAAGCAUGUUGAAACCAUAUAGGCCGGACUUGGAGGAUCCAGGGAGAAACAAAUCAAAGAGAGCGCCUCCCAUCGUCACAAAAUCUUUUGAGAAAGAUGUUGAAUCCAUUUUGACGGAUCGAGUUGUGAGACGGAGAGGUGUUCCCCCUUGCACUCAAUACUUAAUCAAAUGAAAGGGAUUGCCCGAGUCCGAAGCUACUUGGGAAAAUGAGGGAAACCUAUAGCAAUUUGAGUCCGAGCUUCAGAACUACAUGGCGAUGAGGGCGUCGCCAAAUUCGGUGGGAGAGUGACUUACGCCCUACGCGGUCGCGUUCGAUCCGUCCCGGUAGCGGCCGCAAAACAGCGUGGACAGUACGCUGCAGCAGGACGGAACAUAUUGUUUUGGGCAAAAUGCAGGUUGCCUAAAAUUGUGCAAUUUUUCAGGGCGUUAUGAGGUUUUUAUAAGUCCCGACCCAGCCAUUUUGGGAGGAAAAAUACAUGAACCUGCAACGGGAUAUUUUGGUAUACAAGUAGGCAACUUGCACAACUUGUCCACUUGUGCCACUUGCAAGAUAUUAUCAAAGAUAAAAACUAAGCGCGAGUUGGCGAAAAUAUUAUCAAAGGUGCAAGCUAAGCACGAGUUGGCAAGAAUAAUAUCUACUAUGCAAGCUAAGAUCGAGUUGGCGACAACUUGCAAAGAAAGUUGUAAGCUUAUCCACUUGACGAUAACUAAGCAUGAGUUGUAAACAACUAGCACGAGUUGUGACCAACUAAGCAUAGGUUGUAAAGUAAUACAACUUGAUCUUAAGGAGGUUUAAGUUUUGCCUAUAAAUAUAGAUGGAAGUCUCAUUUGUAAAUCAUGUAAAAUUGAGUGAGUUUAUUCAUUAGAGAGAUUGUAAAGUUUUCCCUUUCAUAUAUACAAAGAAAGUUUCCCAACCUUACUUGUUUUCCAUAUAUCCCUUACUUCAAAAUUCUCUUCUCAACGUGGGUAUAAUUUAGCUUCCUUGGUUAAAUUAUUUGUGAGCGUGGAAAGACUGACUUAACGUUUUCUCGUGAGGUGCGGGAAUUGUCAAGCGUUAAGGCCGCACGGUUCUAGUUGUUCGGAUGUAACGAAACUAGGUCCGUGACAUGCAGAUCACUUGUGGCUCUUAUUACAACCGUCAUAACUAAAGAUCUUCCAGAUGUAGGCGGUGAUCGCAAGUAAGUUUUAAAACCAAAACUUUGCAUGAAUUGCUCUAUUUUAUUUUACCCACAAAAGGUUUUUAUUACUAACAUUUUAUUAUUGCCAUUUCUUUUCAUUUUCACUUGUGCUUUUUGAAUUUUGAGUCAUAGAAAGAAGCCAUAUCUUUUCAUGAAGUGCAAUCCUAUCUUACAUUCCUUAGGUGAUGAGCAUUCUCUCACGAUCUAACAUAAUUAACCUACUUUCCAUUGAUAUGUCCUUAUCUACAUUGGUUCAAUACUGGUUGUGAUUUACAUGCCUCGGGUGAUGUGCAUUCUUUCAGGAUCUAACUUAUCCUACUUUCCUUUGAUAUGUCCUUAUCUACUUCACAUGAUAUAGCACUCAUUUAUGAAACAUAUUACAGGCGCUCAAGAGAAGCUCGAUGAUACUUGCACAUCUCAUCUUGGCAGCGAGUUUAACUUUCACAGUAAAUUUAUUUUAUUAUUUCUAGUUGGAUUGUGAUUAAUGCAUUUUUAUUCGAACAAAACUCAAUUGUCUUUAUUUUCUCUUCUCGUUACGAAAAUAAUUACAAUUUUCUGCCCCGUUUUGUCUUAAUCUACUUGAAUUUAUCAAGAAUAAAAAUU
This 3697-nucleotide long non-coding RNA is filed under the name Olea europaea subsp. europaea. Lineage: Eukaryota; Viridiplantae; Streptophyta; Magnoliopsida; Lamiales; Oleaceae. The record is from RNAcentral.